Centropristis striata (black sea bass) is the source of this 394-nucleotide long non-coding RNA. RefSeq lists it as uncharacterized. The record is from RefSeq and is a predicted model, not a curated record. NCBI's taxonomy places the organism in Eukaryota, Metazoa, Chordata, Actinopteri, Perciformes, Serranidae. The transcript has 3 exons.
AUGCUUUCUGCAGGCGGACCUGCAAGACUUGCAAUAUUUGCAUUUAACAUGUAUUUAAACUUACCUGUGUGCACGUGCUCGAGUAACUGUUAUGGCACAUGACUUGCAGUAAAAACUAAAAAAGAAAUUAAAUGCGAUGAUGCAUUAUUAUGGUGCUAGUUGGAGCGGGUUGACUAGGCCGCACCGGCCUGGACAUGUGGAGAUCCAUGCGGUGUUUCUGAGGUGAUUGCACGUCUACACGUGGACAGAGGUGAUGGAGGCCUCCAUGACUUUAUGACAGAAUCUGACUGGCAAGUGGUGGCCAAAGAAAUGGACAAGCAACUGUAAAUUACAAAGUGACACCAGGACGCCUAAAUUAACUUUUUGAUUGUCCAAUAUAUGUUUUUUUUUUUUU